UGAGCAAUCUGCCCUUCUCAUCGGAAUAAGCGUUGGAAACGACGUCUAAUGCCGAAUACGACCUCCUUUCGCAUGAUCGGAGGUGGAAAGCUCCGGCGGAGAAGGAUGAGCUCGCGGCCUAUCAGCUAGUUGGUGUGGGUAAUGGCCCACCAAGGCGACGACGGGUAGCCGGCCUGAGAGGGUGACCGGCCACACUGGGACUGAGACACCGGCCCAGACCUCCGUACGGGAGCAG
Molecule: ribosomal RNA, 235 nt
Filed under: uncultured bacterium
Lineage: Bacteria
Description: partial 16S ribosomal RNA
Rfam family: Bacterial small subunit ribosomal RNA
Source: RNAcentral